UGGAAACAAGGUGCGUACACUCUUUAGCCAAUCAAUGACUUAAAUUAAGCAUUUAAGUGCAGAAACACAUGAAAAACCAGCAAACACAGCAGGCCUCCAGGAUUUCAGUUUCAGAUCCUCACCCACACGGAAUUACAGAGGGGCAUCCCUGUUUGGAAGGGGGACCCCAAAUUCCUUCAAUAAAACCCUCAGAAAAUGGAAUGUAGUAUUACCAGGACUCGACGAUAUGGAACUACACACAAGGAUGACUCGGAGGCUGAGGCCUGUAAUCCUCAUUUUUAUCUGGUGAACAGUGAGGUCACUGAACUUCACAGUUGUUGAAGUGGCUUUAACCUUCUUGGACAAGCUGCUUUUCAGAUUGUGGAUAACAACAUCUUCAGUUCCACGUAAAGUGUCAAUCUGGAAAGAAAAUCAGCGCAAGACCUUGGAAAUUCUGACCUGCUGAUCAGCAGAAUCCAAUCUCUUCUUAUCUGACCCCAAUCUCUGAACUUGACCUUUGAGAGAGAACUGGAUAUUCUCUGUAAUAUGGACAUCUGUGCCACGAAACGUCAAUUAUGAACAAAAGUUGUUACCACCCAAACUAUGAGAUUGUAUAUGGGAUAUAAUGCACUACAUGGCCAAAUGUUUGUGGACACCUGGCA
This is a long non-coding RNA of Anguilla anguilla (European eel), 641 nucleotides long. RefSeq lists it as uncharacterized. The record is from RefSeq and is a predicted model, not a curated record. NCBI's taxonomy places the organism in Eukaryota, Metazoa, Chordata, Actinopteri, Anguilliformes, Anguillidae. The transcript is spliced from 4 exons.